GACGAACGCUGGCGGCGUGCUUAACACAUGCAAGUCGAACGGAAAGACGCGGCGUUUGUGGGUUUCUCGAUUGGCGAACGGGUGAGUAACACGUGAGUAACCUGCCCUUAACUUUGUGAUAACUUUAGGAAACUGGGGCUAAUACAGGAGAGGAUCUCCUGCACCGUGGUGGGGAUUGGAAAGUUUCGGCUGUUGGGGAUGGACUAGCUGCUUAUCAGCUUGUUUGUGGGGUAGUGGCUUACCAAGGCUUUGACGGGUAGGCGGCCUGAGAGGGUUACCGGCCACAUUGGGACUGAGAUACGGACCAGACUCCUACGGGAGGCAGCAGUGGGGAAUAUUGCACAAUGGGCGGAAGCCUGAUGCAGCAACGCCGCGUGCGGGAUGACGGCCUUCGGGUUGUAAACCGAUUUCGCCUGUGACGAAGCGUGAGUGACGGUAAUGGGUAAAGAAGCAACGGCUAACUACGUG
This 468-nucleotide ribosomal RNA is filed under the name uncultured bacterium. Its description in RNAcentral is "partial 16S ribosomal RNA". It matches the Rfam family "Bacterial small subunit ribosomal RNA", at positions 28 to 507 of the family's 1533-position model. The record is from RNAcentral.